RNAcentral lists this unclassified non-coding RNA (351 nucleotides) under soil metagenome. RNAcentral's name for it is "partial contains 5.8S ribosomal RNA, internal transcribed spacer 2, and large subunit ribosomal RNA". The stretch from base 1 to 120 matches the Rfam family "5.8S ribosomal RNA", at positions 35 to 154 of the family's 154-position model. The record is from RNAcentral.
GAUGAAGAACGUAGCGAGAUGCGAAAAGUAAUGUGAAUUGCAGAAUUCAGUGAAUCAUCGAAUCUUUGAACGCACAUUGCGCCCGCCAGUAUUCUGGCGGGCAUGCCUGUCUGAGCGUCAUUUCAACCCUCACGCCCCUAGGGCGUGGUGUUGGGGAUCGGCCAAGGCCCGCAAGGGACGGCCGGCCCCUAAAUCUAGUGGCGGACCCAUCGUGGCCUCCCCUGCGAAGUAGUAAUAUAUUCCGCAUCGGAUAGCGAUGAGCCCCUGCCGUUAAACCCCCAACUCUUUCAAGGUUGACCUCAGAUCAGGUAGGAAUACCCGCUGAACUUAAGCAUAUCAAUAAGCGGAGGA